UACGGAGGAUCCGAGCGUUAUCCGGAUUUAUUGGGUUUAAAGGGUGCGUAGGCGGCCUCUUAAGUCAGCGGUGAAAGUCUGUGGCUCAACCAUAGAAUUGCCGUUGAAACUGGGGGGCUUGAGUAUGUUUGAGGCAGGCGGAAUGCGUGGUGUAGCGGUGAAAUGCUUAGAUAUCACGCAGAACCCCGAUUGCGAAGGCAGCCUGCCAAGCCAUGACUGACGCUGAUGCACGAAAGCGUGGGGAUCAAACAGG
This 253-nucleotide ribosomal RNA is filed under the name Parabacteroides distasonis. RNAcentral describes it as "partial 16S ribosomal RNA". It matches the Rfam family "Bacterial small subunit ribosomal RNA", at positions 524 to 776 of the family's 1533-position model. The record is from RNAcentral. Lineage: Bacteria; Pseudomonadati; Bacteroidota; Bacteroidia; Bacteroidales; Tannerellaceae.